This is a small nucleolar RNA of Colossoma macropomum (tambaqui), 72 nucleotides long. The record is from RefSeq and is a predicted model, not a curated record. Lineage: Eukaryota; Metazoa; Chordata; Actinopteri; Characiformes; Serrasalmidae.
GAUGCAAAUGAUGGGAAAUAGCGAUCAAAGCAUGAUGUUUUGUGAUUAUAUUUUUUUCAAUACUGAUGCAUC